Molecule: long non-coding RNA, 212 nt
Filed under: Gorilla gorilla gorilla (western lowland gorilla)
Lineage: Eukaryota; Metazoa; Chordata; Mammalia; Primates; Hominidae
Description: lncRNA (ENSGGOG00000044397.1)
Source: RNAcentral
GUUAUGGAUUCACUACCAGAUUCUACUGUAUGCUCUGACAACUAUGACCACAAUGGUCCACCCACAAAUGAAUUAUCAGGAGUGAACCCAGAGGCACGUAUGAAUGAAAGGUGAGUUAUGCAUAUGUGUGUCUUUAUUUAUCGAAUUAUAACUGAGCAUAGAAGUAUUCACACACACAGGCACAUAAACAAAUAUAUCCAUCCAUCCAUCCA